This is a long non-coding RNA of Strigops habroptila (Kakapo), 7694 nucleotides long. RefSeq lists it as uncharacterized. Lineage: Eukaryota; Metazoa; Chordata; Aves; Psittaciformes; Psittacidae. The record is from RefSeq and is a predicted model, not a curated record. The transcript has 6 exons.
GGACCGGAAAGAGAACCUUUCCGGGGAAGCCUAUGCCGGGGCGGGAGAAGACAUCAGAGAAUCAGAUACGAUGGGGAGACCUCCCACACAUAAUAUCAGUUAUUGCAGUGCUGCGUGUUAUGAACUUACAAAGCUUCAAGCUUGUAUUUGAUGAAAGUUAAGAAAUGAAGAGUGAGGAGAGAGAUGAAACAACAUUUUUGCUGGAGGAAGAGGUUCAGACAAGAGGACCAAGGAAUUGGAAUUAAUAAAGUAUUACUCCUCCAGAUAAUCAGCUGCAAACCCAUCCCAAUUAGGCUAAGAGGGGCAUUCACUUUUUUGAUUCUCCCUCACAUUUGGGCUAUACUGACCUCUUCCCUGUAUCAUUCAGAAGUUAAAGGGAGAAUAAGUUCUGCUCUGGAAAACUUCAACUUGUCAGAAGUUACGUGAUGUUGGUGUCAGGAAGACUUAUUUCAUCCCGUCACCUGGCUUUUCCAUGACUCUCCUCCUGCUCCCAGCCCCAUCUGUUUCCAUAUUACAUGCAUGUUACCACGGACUGGAAGAGUAUGGGAAGAAAUUCAUCCUAGUAUGGAUUUCUUUCAAGGCAUGUUUCUCUCACUCCCAUUUUGUCUUGAUCUUCUGUUAACUAUCAUAAGAUAAAAUCAGGCAGCUUGACAUUUUUAUUGUGUUUUCCACGCAACAGGUUGGGUUAACCUAUGUGGGUUAACUUACCGCUAAUUUACGUGCAAAAUGCCAACUCUCUUCUCCUAGCCUGGCUUUGAGUUUGAAUGGGUUACCUCAGUGUAAAAGCAAACCUCCUUUCAAAAUGGAGAUGCUUUUUCCGCAUCUGAAGUAGUCUGUCAUCCUACAUAGAUGCAAUGUAUGAGAACAUAGAUAUCUCUCUGCUGUUUCAUUUUCUUCUUUUCAGUUGUAAACUCAAAAAGCAGGGGGUGAAUGGAAAAGAGAUGUCCUGGGAAAUCUGGUCAUUGCUGUUAUCAUUCCUGCCAAAUGAAUACAGAGGCAGUGAGCCUUUUAAAAUAAGGAUCAUGCUCGAUAUUUUAAAACAAAAUCCACCUCUUGCUGUCUGCAUCUCAUGUAAGACUGCACACAUCCUGGAAAAAAUCGAUUGAAGGGUUUCUGUGUUAUGAAACAUAGGCACUUUCUUUUUAAUUAUUGCACUUAGCUUAAGGCUAUGCUUCUCUGUGACUGGCUAACCUGGAUCUGUUAAAACUCCUUUACAACUCAGAAUUCAACAGCAUUAGCAGAUUUGAUUGUUCUAAAUUCUUACUGGAAAUGCUUGUGCUGAGUCUGACUUCAAAUAUAACUAAUGCAACCAGAAUGUAGCUCUUCCUAUUGAUUAUUUAGCCUGAAUACCAAUUAAUAAGGAUGUAAUCCUCCAUCUUUAUGUUUAAAAAGAAUUUAUUUGCUUAUUCGGAAGGGUCAGAAUGCAAGUUCUAGUGAAUAAAGUGGACAGAGCACUUUUGCCCACUGGACUAUUGUCUUGAGAUUGAACAAAAUCAUGGACAGUUAUACCAGAGAGGGUUUGAAGAAGCCCGUCAAAAUGUCUGCACGCAGACUGGCCCUGCAGCAUAGGAGCAGCAGAAUGGACUGCCACAAGGGAGAUCUGUGUAGGUAUUUAUACCAUGCUCAUUGCCAUGGUAACUGCCUUAUGAAAUGUAGACAUUACAUACAGAAGUGUUUGUGCUUUCCUGCCUCUCGCACACUCGCUCCUUCCCUCCCCUCCAGCACUGGAGCUUUCAUGGAUGCUUUUAUAGCGAGGAGGCCUAGUAUCAGACAGUGACCUGCACUUAUUCCCAAAACCUUGGAACUCCUGGGCCAGACUGGUCCAGUGCACCCUGGACUGUGCCCUUCAGCACCGGAUCCUCCAGUCCUGCAGCCAUCCACCCAUCACAGGUGCUCCCGAGCCCUUUGAGUGUGCCUGGUGAUUUCAGUGUCCCUCAACAAUAUUGGAAGGGCAUAGCUGUGGAGAAGGAUCACCAAGACUUAACUCAGUGCGUGUCUCCUGCCUCCCCAGGGACAUGGUACACAGCAGCCAUAGGCAGGAUGCACUGACCUCAGACUUCGUUGAUGGGCUAUCUGCCAGAUGUAUUGAGCAGUUAUGAAGGGAUGAGUACAAGAGUCAUGUCCUCACUCCUACCCUGAGGAAAACUGACAUAACACCAUACUGCUCUCUGGACCUUAAAAUGGUUUACAGCAUGGAUGCACCCACCCUACACAGCUGAGCGUAGUUUUCAGACUCUGGACCAGCACAGACCACGGAUUCCCGCUUCUUUAGAGAAAACAUUUUCUAUGUAAGCAGCCACAUCCCAGAAUCAUUCAAGAUGGGAACUCUUCUUUCUGUGGUCACAUCUGGCACUGACUGUGUGAAUUUUAGAGAUUGCGCUGUAUCCCCUGAAGGAGCUUUUGGAAGACAACCCAAAUGGAAGAUGAGUAUGCUAGAAAGGAAAAAAGAGAAGAAAACCAGUGUAUGGAUUGCAAUAGUAGAGCUGUAUCGGUUCCUUGAGCAACUGCACAAGUAUUUACAGUAGUGUGAAGAAACAGGGAGCCCAGGGACAGGGACAAGAUGCUGGCAGUGAGCAGAACCACUCUCAUCUCAUCUCUGAGAUGCCAGCAUCUGUCUGCUUAAACGUUGGUCAAGUUGAAUCCUAAGGAGAAAGGGAACUGGCAAUAAAAUACAGAUAGCUGAAGAAAACUUCUGGCAAAAAAGGAGAGAGUGGAGUGACGAAUAUGUUACUACAGGUUCCAAAAUCCUACUACUCUGCAUGCUACACUGUUAAAUCCUCUUCAGACUGGAAAAAAAAUUAAAAAACCUUCAAUCCCAAGAAAGAAAAAGAAAACUGGCUUUACAAAAUAACAAAUUUCCUUCCUGUACAUAUUUUUAGAUUUAUGGCUUUCUUACAAGCUAUUUUAUAAAGCUCGGACAAAACUAUUGAUACAAAAUCUGAAAUGGAUCUGCACUUUGGUUCAAAUCAUGUUAGCAUGUGAUUUACUCUUAAAUAAUCUUUUUCUAUUGUUCCUUUCUCUAUGCUCACCUUUUUUUUCCUUUCCCCCCACUCCAAAACUGCAGUAGUAACCUUUCUGCUACCAGACUACCCUGUUUUGAAACUUUUCAUGGUUUCUUAAUGAUACCGGUUUCACAUGAUCCUAUUCUGUAACUGUCCGUCUGCUUAUUAGUUCCCCUUCAGCCUUUCAACUAAUUUCAAUAAACUUUGAAUGAGGGAAAAGGGCUUUCAAAGAGAUGUUAAUUCCUACAAAGUUUAGGAAGACUGUUAGCAAGAGGAGGAAGAAACUGAGGAAAUGCAGUAGUUCACAAAUCUACAGAAUUUCUUGCAGUUUUUUAAACAACAUUCUCAUCUACCGCACUUGGGAAUAACAUUGACAAGUUUUAAGAACAGUUUCCUUCUUCCCUCACUCUACUCCUAAGGCUGGAAGGAAGUCAGACUUCUUCAAGGUUCAUGUGGAUGAAGAGGACUAUAUGGUUGUCAAAUGAAUUUGUUGAACUUUGUCCAAAUUCUAUGAGACUGAAGCUUUUCACAUGGACAGUGUAUGGUUUAUUCGAGGACAGUUCAGCUAGGAACAAACCAGACAGAAAAAAUAAAGUAUUCUGAAUUGUUCCCUCUCCAAAAGAUGGACAAGCUGCACUUUUGGGCCUGUAAAUAGACAUUUUCACAACCAGUCUCUGCAAUAUCUUCUAAGCAUUUGGUAGAUAUAUAAAGAAUUUCUGGUUUUCCUGAUCAUUUAACCCUUAUUUGAGCAACUAAAUGAAUAACAGGAAAAUGCCAUACCAUAUUUUUCUUAUCCUAAGAAUUGCUCCUACUCAGAUACCAUUCCUUCUUCCACGUAAGAGACCACAGGUCCCUACAAAAUCUUUUUCUUACCAACUUCCUAAGUUGAUUUCUAGCCAAGCGUGCAUUCUUUUGUACCUCUAAGUAUGGAGUACAAAUUUGGUUUGAUUGCAUCUAUGAAUCUUUGAAGAGUGACAUCAUGAUCACUCCAACAACAGUGUUAACAUUUCACACAACCAGAAAUCGAAAGUGGAAAGAUGGAAAGUUAUGACUAUGAAGCCUUAUAUUGAUGCGAGGAAUGGUAAUUGAAGUAGCCACCUCAGGAGAAACUAAAAUGGAAUGCCUACACUCUACCUUUUUUUGUAACAGAAAAGAGAUAGAGCAUCACUCCAACUUCUUGAUACAUUACUUCUAUGUGGGUUUUUAUUCCUAAUUUUGAAUCUUAAUUUAUAUGUACAGUAAGUACUGUCUGAUACCUCAGGGUGACAUCAUCCUCCCCCUCCCAUCCCAAGUUUAUUAACUCAGUAUAGUAUGGAAGGUAGAAAUUACAUAUGAGUUUUGGAAUACAUACACAAUAGCUAAUUUUUUUAAUUUACUGCAUUUGGAUUCUGGUUUUGUUCCAUAUAGAAAAGCCUAAAUAUAUGGUGUCUAGAUAUAAUAAUUAUAUGCUAAACACUUUAAACCCAUCUUAAUUAUUUGUUAUUGGAAUAACUUUAUUGGGUUUUCCUUAUCAGUUUAGGGAUACAGAGGGCAAAGUUCUCACUGACCUGCUUGACAUUUUCCCAUCAGAUACACUAAUCUCCUGCCAUGUUGGUUAGAAAAUAUAUAUGAAUCAGGGCCCUGAGGGCAUUAACAGCGCCCCAAAGCAGCCUUGGCUGGGGCCUCCCCACACCCCUGCCCAAGACCCCAUUUCAGCCUAGCCAAGCAUAGAGGUGCCCAAUGCCUUGGGCUGGGGCUGCCCCUGUUGCCCUGGCUGCUCCUGGCUGGGGCAGUGGGAUGGGCUAGAGCUGCCAGGUCCUACUUGGAUGCCCUGGGGAGCCCCCAGUGCUCCUGGGCCCAGGGGAAAAGCUGGUCCCUGGGGUGCUCUGAUGAAACAAAUUUCCUAUGGGAAACACCUCUGGAAUUGUUUUUCGUUUUUGUCAUGCCUUACCCAAUCAAUAGUAACCACCACCAUGUGCACUGAGUGUGAGAGUGACAAUAUCAGACACUAUGUGUUGUAUUUGGGACUUGUUAUUGUUCCCAGUAUGAAAAUAUCAUUUAAUCAUCAAUGUAAUGUUCUGUGACCACUAUGAUGUAAUUAUGCUUUACAUUAGAAAUGACAACUGUGAAAGACAGUUCUUUUCUGAAAGGGAUGACAUCCUAAGAUUCGAUGCUGUACAAAGAGACAUACACCACUCACCAUUAUUGCCAAAAUACUAUCCAAAAUAUACACUGCAUAAACUAAAGACUCGGGCAAGCGCAAAGUACUCUUUUCCUUACUGGCACAUGCAGGCUUAAAUAAGUCAAUGAAAGAUUAUGUAAACCAAGAGCACUACUACUCAUGUGCUUAAGUGAUUUACUGGAGCGGGCCCAAAAAUACUGAAAACAUUGCAACAUUUAUGCUUGAUGUGAUCCCAUGAAACAAAUCUUAAUGUUCAGGCGUAGCUUAUUUGAUUUUCAAGCAGCAUUUUAUUUUCUUUUUAAAAGAUACUUUCCUUAUCUGCUACGCUGCCUGUUCUGUUUUCUGAGAGUUGGUAGGUACCACAUAAUACCGCACCCAAGGGGCUGAACCGGAAGGGCAAAAAAAAUGAUCUUUCAUGGGUCUGGGGUAAAAUUCUGCUUUCUCUUUUCUGUUGCUGCUCUUUUAUACUACCCAGUUGCAAAGCUCCAUAGCAUUACCCUGCUUCAGCAACAUUCUAAGUUUCAUUUCUGUCUAUGGAUCAGUGCGAUGUCAAUCAGACUUUGAGAAGUGGGGAUAAACAUAUCUAUUAACAGUGGAGAUUUUCUAAAUUCUGAAUCAUUCCCUCACCAAAAUGAUUCACAUUUCAUUUCUUUUGGGUUAGUCAAUGAACAAUGCAACCAGCCAGGUUGCAGCUGGUUUCACUUUUUGUUUGACAGGCUGACUGUGGUGCGAGAGCUGGGAAGCCUGCAGGGAAACGCUUCCUUUCCCCAUGUUUUCGCACUGAAUUAAAAAUGUUGCAAAAGCAUUUCUAAUCAUACCAACGGUUGUGAACAGAGAGGAAUUAGCUGGAAGGACUACCGAGGAAUAAAUUAGUCUGUCAUAGUUCUCUGUGUGGAUGCUUAUUUUAGAACAAUUAAUGAGUUUUUUGAGUGCCUACUGACUUCUGUCUUCAUACUAUGGAUACUCUUUAAUCAGCAAUUUAUCUCACUCAUAUCCUUUUGUUUCCAUAGUUGCUGCAACAAGAUAAACCGGUAACAUCUACUUGCAGUACUGGGGUGGGGGGGAAGUGUCAAUAUUUUCCAAAAGCAAAGCAGUGUCAUCCAAGAUGAGCCACAGCAAUGUCCCUAGAAAACUCUGGAAGCCCAAGAGGCAUAGAUUUUUGUUUGGGGAGCAGGAAGAAUUCCCUAGUCGGAAGUGUGGUGUGCAGUCUGCUUCUUCAGUAACCACAAAGUGCCACUGCUGUCCCAAUAUCUUCUUUUAUUUAGUGCCAUAAAUAGCUGUCGACUUCAGCCUAUCGUGACCUUUGAUUAGCACGGCCACAGGCAACUGCAGGUCUGUUGAAGCACUUCAGAUUAUACUUUUAAAACAGAAAGGAGAUCAAAUACAAAAGUCAGAGAAUAAACACGAAGUAAUGUAUUUAUUUUCCCCACACAAGUGCAAAAUUUCUCUUGUAUCUUGCUAUGCUUCCAUGAAUGUUACAUGAAGUACAAUCUAAAAUCACAAGAGUACUACCAAAGGUGCUGGAAAGCUGAAGAGGAAUCAGUUUGUUCCAAACCUAAGGUUUCAAUUAAAUUACUCAGAGUUUCUACGCUCUCUUGGCUGAAGGAACCCUUCUUCACAAGAGGGAAUACUUGCUACAAGUUGUACCAGUACUGUUUCCACAAGUAUUAUUCGUAUCUUUUUUUUUUGUUGUUGACUUUUAUGUGAACUGGCACCGAGUUUCUUGGUGGACAAUUGCCCACAUUAUAAAAAUGCACUGAAGUGUUACUGUUCAGCUCUGCCAAAAAAAGCCACUGCAGUUGGAAGGAACACGGUAUUUGGCUUGUCAUUAAAAGAGGGGUCUACUGAACAAUAAAAAGAAAUGACCAUCAGUAAACACAGCAGUUUAUUUUUAAGGGCAAGAAGUGUCAAAAAGUACACAACUACAAUAGUCCGAGCUGCCGUUGUGCCCCUGUAAGCCAUCAUAAAGAGUGACGAGCUUGAAGGAGAAUACUGUGGCAGGCAAGGGAAGUUAAACAUGUUAUAGGUGCAGUGAUUUUAAAUGCUUUCCCAGGAGAAACAAAUGGAUAAAUUUGAAGUAGAAGGAAAAGCCCAAAGUAAUUCAUAAGGGACAAAGAAAAAAGAGGCCACAGUAACACGCUUGGAGGCAUGAAAAUCACUGAGAUAACAGGGCUGUUCUUUCUCUUACACAGACUUCUAACCCAAACAUGAACAGGCUUACACAGCUUUUCACCAUAGUUAUGGCUUGUUUUUACUGUUGGUGAAGAAAAUGCAUGUAAAACUAUUCUUUCAGUAAACAAAUUGUUGCAUUGGUACAGUAAUGAAGCAGCUGCAUCCUUUAUUUUGUUUAGCGAGUGGUUAAUGCAAUUGAGAUGUACUUCAGACUCCCUUCCCAAAUAAUACAACCUAGUGAUUAGCAAAAAAAGGACUAACUCUAACUUUGUUAAAAUAGGAAAUAACGGCAGAUAUCACCACUUGGUUUGGAUCUCUAGCUUUUUACAGAAAAACACCCACCCACAGCUCCUGCAAUG